GGGCGAGUAGAUCAACGGUAGAUCGCUACAUUGGCGUUGUAGAGGUUCUGGGUUCAAAUCCCUGCUCGUCCA
RNAcentral lists this transfer RNA (72 nucleotides) under archaeon CG2_30_31_98. RNAcentral's name for it is "tRNA-Ala". It matches the Rfam family "tRNA". Rfam says of the family: Transfer RNA (tRNA) molecules are approximately 80 nucleotides in length. RNAcentral also lists the same sequence under 2 other names. The record is from RNAcentral.